UAGAUUAUAAGUUAAGAAAACUGCAAUUGUUCAAAAAUUGUAAUGCUUGAAAGGGUUAAUCUAG
RNAcentral lists this transfer RNA (64 nucleotides) under Eomenopon denticulatum. Its description in RNAcentral is "tRNA-Trp". Lineage: Eukaryota; Metazoa; Arthropoda; Insecta; Psocodea; Menoponidae. The record is from RNAcentral.